This 158-nucleotide ribosomal RNA is filed under the name Globodera rostochiensis. RNAcentral describes it as "5.8S ribosomal RNA". It matches the Rfam family "5.8S ribosomal RNA". Rfam says of the family: 5.8S ribosomal RNA (5.8S rRNA) is a component of the large subunit of the eukaryotic ribosome. It is transcribed by RNA polymerase I as part of the 45S precursor that also contains 18S and 28S rRNA. Lineage: Eukaryota; Metazoa; Nematoda; Chromadorea; Rhabditida; Heteroderidae. The record is from RNAcentral.
CUAGUCUUAUCGGUGGAUCACUCGGCUCGUGGAUCGAUGAAGAACGCAGCCAACUGCGAUAAUUAGUGUGAACUGCAGAAACCUUGAACACAGAACUUUCGAAUGCACAUUGCGCCAUUGGAGUGACAUCCAUUGGCAUGCCUGGUUCAGGGUCGUAA